UAAAUUACUGGGGGGUAAUUUUUAGUACGUAAACGCCUUGAAUGGCGAAUCGUGCAUGCUGCUACUAAGAACUAGCAGUAUCUUUUGAAGAUUUUCUACCUCC
Non-coding RNA from Glossina morsitans morsitans, 103 nucleotides. The record is from Rfam. Lineage: Eukaryota; Metazoa; Arthropoda; Insecta; Diptera; Glossinidae.